UACGUAGGGUGCAAGCGUUAAUCGGAAUUACUGGGCGUAAAGCGUGCGCAGGCGGUUAUGUAAGCCAGAUGUGAAAUGCCCGGGCUUAACCUGGGAACUGCAUUUGUGACUGCAUGGCUAGAGUUGGCAGAGGGGGUAGAAUUCCACGGUGUAGCAGUGAAAUGCGUAGAUAAUGGUGGAGGAACACCGAUGGCGGAAGGCGGGUCUC
Molecule: ribosomal RNA, 208 nt
Filed under: uncultured bacterium
Lineage: Bacteria
Description: partial 16S ribosomal RNA
Rfam family: Bacterial small subunit ribosomal RNA
Source: RNAcentral